GCCGGGCGAGGUGGUAGGCGCCUGUAGUCCCAGCUACUCGGGAGGCUGAGGCAGAAGAAUGGCGUGAACCCAGGAGGCAGAGCUUGCAGUGAGCCGAGAUUGCGCCACUGCACUCCAGAAUGGGUGACAGAGUGAGACUCCAUCUCAAAAAAANNNNNNNNNNUUUGAGAUGGAGUCUCACUCUGUCACCCAUUCUGGAGUGCAGUGGCGCAAUCUCGGCUCACUGCAAGCUCUGCCUCCUGGGUUCACGCCAUUCUUCUGCCUCAG
Molecule: signal recognition particle RNA, 267 nt
Filed under: Chlorocebus sabaeus (green monkey)
Lineage: Eukaryota; Metazoa; Chordata; Mammalia; Primates; Cercopithecidae
Description: Metazoan signal recognition particle RNA
Rfam family: Metazoan signal recognition particle RNA
About the family: The signal recognition particle (SRP) is a universally conserved ribonucleoprotein. It is involved in the co-translational targeting of proteins to membranes.
Source: Rfam by way of RNAcentral